Long non-coding RNA from Sarcophilus harrisii (Tasmanian devil), 1831 nucleotides. The record is from Ensembl. Lineage: Eukaryota; Metazoa; Chordata; Mammalia; Dasyuromorphia; Dasyuridae.
GCUUUUUAUUUUUCUAAAGACAUGCAUACAAAGAUAGUUUUCAGUACUCUUACAAAACCUUGUGUUCCAAAUUUUUCUCUCUCCUUCAUUACUUCCCCUCUCCCCUAGACAGCAAACAAUCCAAUAUAGGGUUAAACAUGUGCAUUUUUUCUAAACAUAUUUCCACAUGUCAUACUGCAAAAGAAAAAUCAUAUCAAAAAUGGAAAAAAAAGCAAGUAAAAAAGGCAAAAAAAUGAAAAUACUAUGUUGUGAUCCAUAUUCAGUCCCCAAAGUCCUCUCUUUGGAAAUAAAUGGCUUUCUACAUCACAAGUCUAUCGAAACUGAUUUGAAUCAUCUCAUUUUUGGAAAGAACCAAGUCCAUCAGAAUCGAUCAUCACAUAAUUUUGUUGGUGUAUACAAAGGUCUCUUGGUUCUCUUUACUUCACUUGGCAUCAAUUCAUGUAAGUCUCUCCAGGCCUCUCUGAAAUCAUCCUGCUGAUCAUUUCUUACAGAAUAAUUCUAUAAUAUUCACAUACCAUAAUUUAUUCAGCCAUUCUCCAACUGAUGGGCAUACACUCUAGUUCUAGUUCCUUGCCACUACAAAAAGGGAUGUAACAUUUUUGCACAUGUGGGUCCUGCUCCCUUUUUUUAUGGUCUCUUUGGGAUACAGACCCAGUGGAGACACUGCUAGAUCAAAGGGCAUGCAUAGUUUUAUAUCCCUUUGGGCAUAGUUCCAAGUUGCUCUUCAGAAUGAUUGGAUUGGUUCACAACUCCACCAACAAUGUAUUAGUGUCCCAGUUUUCUCACAUUCCCUCAACAUUUAUCAUUAUCUUUUCCUGUCAUUUUAGCCAAUCUGAAGUGUGAAGUGAUAUGUUAGAAUUGUCUUAAUUUGCAUUUCUCGAAUUAAUAGUGAUCAGUUAUUGGAAGUCAUUAAAUGCUUGGUUCAAGAAAUUAAAUCAUGAUAAAGAAAAUAUGAACAUCCUCUAAGAUUUCAGUCUAGAAGGAAAAAUAAUUUAGAUCAUAGGAUUUUUGUGACUUUCUUACUAUAUGGGUAUCAUUACCAUUGUGCUGCAAGUUUUAAGCCUAUUCCCCCCCGCCCCCAAUUGAAACUAGGAGUAUUUGUGGGAGAGUAUACUCCAGAUUUAUGGAAUGAAUGUUUUGUGUAUUUUUACUUUUAUCAUGUUAGUAAAUGCCUGUGCUAAGAGUUUAUUGUAUCUAUUGGCUUAUUAUUUAUAGAAAACAUACCAAUGGGGUUCUUAGAAAUCACAUUUGUAUAGCCUCACCCAAUAGAACCACCAUCCUCUAAGGUCCUAACCCUGGAAUGAAAGUGAUGUUUAGGUAGUAAUAGGUGAGAGCAAUGAAGUCUUCAAGUGACUUGUCUAAGGUCUGACAAAUAAGUAGCACAGUCAAAUUUGAACUCUGGCCAUCUUACUCUUGAUCCAAAGUAUUAUACUGUAGUAUCCCGACUCUUGCUAACUACAGCACAAGUUAAUUUUUAACUGCUGUAUGAGUGUCACAGCUAGUAAGUAAAAUAGGUCAUAAAAAGACUCAUCAGGGAGGGAUUCUUGGAGAUUUUGACUUGGGUCAUGAAAAAAGGUAAGCAUUUGGAAAUACCUCAAAAGAUCAUAUAUAGAUUUAGAAUUCAAAGAUAUCUUAGAUGUCACAGGUCAACCCCUCUCAUUUUAACAAAUAAAGAAGUUGAAGGCUUGCAGAAGGUCUCACAGAAAAGUGACAUAACUGGGAUUAGCUAGGAUAAGAAAUAAGCAUUAAAUAUCUGCUUUGUGCUAGUGGUGUGCAUUUAUCUCAACUGAUCCCGACAACAACUCUAGGAGAAAGAGACUAUUAUUCCAAA